This 712-nucleotide small RNA is filed under the name Rattus norvegicus (Norway rat). RNAcentral describes it as "uncharacterized LOC108350231". The record is from RNAcentral. Lineage: Eukaryota; Metazoa; Chordata; Mammalia; Rodentia; Muridae.
GACUUGUUGAAAUCAGCAUACAGUCCUGCCAUUGUCAGAAAAGUACAGUACUUAUGAUCACAUGUGUUUGGGAAAAAGAUGACUAAAGAGGCAUCUGGCAAGUUCUUCAGGAUGAUGCCUUCUACAGGAGGGCAUUGUUUUCAUAGGAGAUGAGUUCCACUGGGAUGCUGACACUAAAUAUACUCCAGAGAGCCAAGAUAUGUGCACAGACAGGCAACUAGCAUAGCUGUUAUCCCAGGAACUGAUUGGAAACUGACGCAGAGACCCACAGCCAAACAUUAAAUGGAGCUUUGGGAAUUCAGUGGAAGAGGGAUGGAGGACUGAAGGAACCAUUUGGGUCAAAGGUACCACAAGAAAACCUACAGAAUCAACUAAUCUGAGUCUCCAGUCUCAUAGAGAAUGAACUGUGAACCAGAAAGCAUACACAGGAUGGACUUAGGCCCUCUGCAAACACAUAACAACUGUGCAGCUGGAUCUCUAUGUGAGACUCAGAAAGAAGCAGCAGGAGCUGUCUCUAAUUGCAUAGCCUGCCUUUGGAUCCCUUUCUUUUGCCGGGCUGACUUGUCUAACCUCACUAAAAGAAGAUGCACUUACCUUAGUCUUACUUAGUCAAACUUCUAUUCCACGGCUGUUUGAUAUCCAUGGGAAGCCUCCCCUUUCUUCAGGAGAAGGGGAAGGGUGGAUGAAAUAGGAAGGGGAGGUAAGGGAAUAA